This 492-nucleotide ribosomal RNA is filed under the name uncultured bacterium. Its description in RNAcentral is "partial 16S ribosomal RNA". It matches the Rfam family "Bacterial small subunit ribosomal RNA", at positions 29 to 507 of the family's 1533-position model. The record is from RNAcentral.
AGUGAACGCUGGCGGUAGGCCUAACACAUGCAAGUCGAACGGCAGCACAGUAAGAGCUUGCUCUUACGGGUGGCGAGUGGCGGACGGGUGAGGAAUACAUCGGAAUCUACUUUUUCGUGGGAGAUAAUGUAGGGAAACUUACGCUAAUACCGCAUACGACCUACGGGUGAAAGCAGGGGAUCUUCGGACCUUGCGCGAUUGAAUGAGCCGAUGUCGGAUUAGCUAGUUGGCGGGGUAAAGGCCCACCAAGGCGACGAUCCGUAGCUGGUCUGAGAGGAUGAUCAGCCACACUGGAACUGAGACACGGUCCAGACUCCUACGGGAGGCGGCAGUGGGGAAUAUUGGACAAUGGGCGCAAGCCUGAUCCAGCCAUACCGCGUGGGUGAAGAAGGCCUUCGGGUUGUAAAGCCCUUUUGUUGGGAAAGAAAAGCAGCAGGUUAAUACCCCGCUGUUCUGACGGUACCCAAAGAAUAAGCACCGGCUAACUUCGUG